Molecule: long non-coding RNA, 823 nt
Organism: Dendroctonus ponderosae (mountain pine beetle)
Lineage: Eukaryota; Metazoa; Arthropoda; Insecta; Coleoptera; Curculionidae
Exons: 3
Source: RefSeq, a predicted model, not a curated record
AGAAAGUUCUAAUGUAGCUAACAAUCUUUCGGGUGGCACGUUGUGGGCCCGAACCAACUCACAAUCAACACAUUGUUGUUAACUGGUCAACAGUAGCGAUUAGACCACAACAAAAUGCGUGGAGGAUUUAGAGCCACAAAACACUUUAUUAAGCAAUGAAGUUUUGCUAUAAAUUUCCCAAGAGUGGUUCAUGUGUACAUGUUGAACUACCAAGAAACUGGCUGUAAAACAUGAAAUGCUACGAAAAACCAAUGACCUUAUUUCCACAUAGUUCGCAGGCUUUAAAAGGCACUUGCUAGGUUAGCUUUUAAGUAUCGGGGAAUAAAGGCCUGGAACAAGGCCAGGCCAAGGCGUAAAAAGCAGCGUGCACAAAGCAGAAGAGCAGCUUAAUUUACAAGCAAAUUUGAAGAAACAUCUAAGAUAAUAAGCCAGUUGACUGUUUGAAGAACAUUUAACAAUCACCUAGAAGUUUUCUGUGUCUCAUUUAUGAGCGACAAAGAGUGAAGUAAAACGACCCAAACGCUGAUAUGAACAGGAUAUUAUAAUAAAAAAUGGUUUUAGAGAAAAAUAUAUGUUUGAAGAAAUGCUCCAAUGUUAAUAUAAACAUUGAACACAAAAUAAAAGCAUAAAAUUAUAUAAUCGGCUGUGUUAAGUGGAAGAGCAUGACGUUUUGCCUUAGUAAAUUAAAAAUGUAAUCAUUUGCAUUAAAUAUUAAAUUUAUUCCGGAAAUAAUGCUGUAAGUGGAAAAUUACAAUUAGUAAAGAAAUUCAUUUAGAGAAGUUAGUUAGUUACGCUUAUUUUGUUUUGCAAAUUAUAAUUGUUU